CCAGACUCCUACGGGAGGCAGCAGUGAGGAAUAUUGGUCAAUGGCCGCAGGGCUGAACCAGCCAAGUCGCGUGAGGGAUGACGGUCCUAUGGAUUGUAAACCUCUUUUGUCAGGGAGCAAAGGGCGCCACGUGUGGCGUUUUGCGAGUACCUGAAGAAAAAGCAUCGGCUAACUCCGUGCCAGCAGCCGCGGUAAUACGGAGGAUGCGAGCGUUAUCCGGAUUUAUUGGGUUUAAAGGGUGCGCAGGCGGGGGCACAAGGCGGCGGUAAAAUCGCGGGGCUCAACCCCGCUCCGCCGUUGAAACUGUGUCCCUUGAGUGCGCGAAGGGUAGGCGGAAUGCGUGGUGUAGCGGUGAAAUGCAUAGAUAUCACGCAGAACUCCGAUUGCGAAGGCAGCAUACCGGCGCCCGACUGACGCUGAGGCACGAAAGCGUGGGUAUCGAACAGGAUUAGAUACCCGCGUAC
Molecule: ribosomal RNA, 464 nt
Filed under: uncultured bacterium
Lineage: Bacteria
Description: bacterial SSU rRNA
Rfam family: Bacterial small subunit ribosomal RNA
Source: RNAcentral